This 307-nucleotide ribosomal RNA is filed under the name uncultured eukaryote. Its description in RNAcentral is "partial 18S ribosomal RNA". It matches the Rfam family "Eukaryotic small subunit ribosomal RNA", at positions 1470 to 1796 of the family's 1831-position model. The record is from RNAcentral.
CCCUUAGACGUUCUGGGCCGCACGCGCGCUACACUGACGAAGGCAACGAGCUUUCCUUUACCGAAAGGUACGGGUAAUCUUUUGAAACUUCGUCGUGCUGGGGAUAGAUCCUUGCAAUUUUUGAUCUUAAACGAGGAAUGCCUAGUAAGCGCAAGUCAUCAACUCGCGUUGAUUACGUCCCUGCCCUUUGUACACACCGCCCGUCGCUACUACCGAUUGAAUGGUUUAGUGAGGCCUUCGGAUCCGCGACUCGUUUGUGGAGAAGUUGGACAAACUCAGUCAUUUAGAGGAAGUAAAAGUCGUAACA